This 253-nucleotide ribosomal RNA is filed under the name uncultured bacterium. RNAcentral describes it as "partial 16S ribosomal RNA". It matches the Rfam family "Bacterial small subunit ribosomal RNA", at positions 524 to 776 of the family's 1533-position model. The record is from RNAcentral.
UACGUAGGGGGCAAGCGUUGUCCGGAAUUAUUGGGCGUAAAGAGCGUGUAGGCGGUCCGGUAAGUCAGCUGUGAAAGUCAAGGGCUCAACCCUUGAAUGCCGGUUGAUACUGUCGGGCUAGAGUCCGGAAGAGGCGAGUGGAAUUCCCGGUGUAGCGGUGAAAUGCGCAGAUAUCGGGAGGAACACCGGUGGCGAAGGCGGCAUCCUGGACCAAUUCUGACACUGAGGAGCGAAAGCCAGGGGAGCAAACGGG